GUGUGAAAUGAUGGCAUACCAUCUUUCGGGACUGACACAUCAUGGAGAUGCUUUUUUUAACUUUACUGAUCACGG
Small nucleolar RNA from Clarias gariepinus (North African catfish), 75 nucleotides. RefSeq annotates it as small nucleolar RNA SNORD2. NCBI's taxonomy places the organism in Eukaryota, Metazoa, Chordata, Actinopteri, Siluriformes, Clariidae. The transcript has a single exon. The record is from RefSeq and is a predicted model, not a curated record.